Molecule: long non-coding RNA, 1133 nt
Organism: Gadus morhua (Atlantic cod)
Lineage: Eukaryota; Metazoa; Chordata; Actinopteri; Gadiformes; Gadidae
Exons: 2
Source: RefSeq, a predicted model, not a curated record
CUUUCUAUGAUGAUUGCAGCUCGUCACUUCAUGAUCAAGUGAGCCAGUGCUCACAGUGACUCUGCCAAGUAAUCGUGACUGUGCAUGUCUUAGGUUGUCCCGGGUGUCAAGGUGGGAUCUUACCCGUCGUUGGCUAACCAGGCUUCCAUACUGGCUUAUUGCAGGAUGCCGUGCCUGGGAUACAAUCAAUCCCCACCCAUAAAGUGGAAUAGAUCGAAAAGUCGAGGGAUGGAGAGACUUCAGUCCCAGCUACCCAUGCAGCGAAGUGUGUGCGCAAUGGAGACACAGCAGGGCGAUUAACCUGUGUUUGUGAGGCGGCGGAUGAUGACGCCAAUCUGAAACCCUACCUCCAGGGCCUCCAGCGGCCCCUACUCUGCCAUCAGCCUAAAAGGCGGCACGCCUCCCCCACCAGCCUCCCCCAAAACAGCAGGGCAGGUACAGCGAACCACCCUUCUCCUCCACUCCCUCCGGCGGCACCCUGGGGGCCUCCCAGGACUACGCCACCUCCUCCAGCUCAGACGGGGCGCACGGCAGACGUUUCCGCCGCAAAUCGGCCGGCAUUAACGACCGCCCCCACGCCAAACAGCCCCCUCUUACCCCCCGCCACACCGCCGGGGAAGUUCUGCUCACCCUGCCUGGAGAGACUGCUCCAGGCCAAGGACAGCGUUGUCAGUGGCAGGAGGGUCCAGGUGGGAGAGGGGGAGGGUGAGCCGCCAGCUGCUUUACCUGAAGCAUGUGCAGAGGCGUCACCGUCGGUAAGACUAGUGAGGAAUCAGUAGUCUGGAGAGCAAGGGUCUGUGACACCAAACAGAGCAGCACGGUGAGCAUUCUGAUGCAUUUAUUGUGUUCUUUGUAUGCUUCAGGAAACUCGGAAUAGGCAAUAGAAAUCAAAACAAUAAAUAUGGAAAUUAUGUAAAACUGUUUCCUAAUGAAUCAUUUUACACAAUGUACAAUUUCUUCAUUUCCACAACUCCACUGGUUUCCAUAACCUAUACACUUUUCCAAACAAAAUAAACAACUCCAUGCAAAUACCCUUAAAAUGGGAGGUGGAGUAAUGAAAACUGGAAAAAUAAAAAAAUAAAAUCUUCAGUACACUGCUGAGUCAAUACAACGGUUCAUUGUUUUAAAAUAAC